CCGGGCGACUCGUUCAUACAGCGUAAAAACGACACUAGAUGGCUCUGUCGUUGUAUGUUCAUCAAGACGUUUCCACCAAUUACGCUAAACGGACUUUUCCGGUCGUUAAAAACAUUCCAUCCGAGAUCUGCCGACGGAAUUACAACGCACCUGUACUAAUAAAAGUUACUUCGGACAAUUUUCGCGUGAACGUCUGUAGUAUGCAUCGUCCCCUCCAGGUGCAAAUCUGGAGUCGUCAUCAGCCACGAUGAUGAAACUUGUCCAUCUGCCUGAGCGUGAGACAGCUGGUGGCUUGUCAAUUUAUUUGACUUUUGCCAUUCAGCGACGAUGAUCGCAACCGGGUCUCGAACCCGGGGGGUAGAUGGACAGUCUGAGUGGUCUACUGAUAAUUUAUACUCUGAUUAACUUCGAGAGUUAUUUCCGAAUGUUUUGAUUGUUGUAA
Cinara cedri is the source of this 442-nucleotide non-coding RNA. The record is from the annotation of a GenBank genome assembly. NCBI's taxonomy places the organism in Eukaryota, Metazoa, Arthropoda, Insecta, Hemiptera, Aphididae.